Molecule: ribosomal RNA, 448 nt
Filed under: uncultured bacterium
Lineage: Bacteria
Description: bacterial SSU rRNA
Rfam family: Bacterial small subunit ribosomal RNA
Source: RNAcentral
AACGAACGCUGGCGGCAGGCCUAACACAUGCAAGUCGAACGCUCCGCAAGGAGAGUGGCAGACGGGUGAGUAACACGUGGGAAUCUUCCUGUUGGUUCGGAAUAGCUCAGGGAAACUUGGGGUAAUACCGGAUAAGCCCGAGAGGGGAAAGAUUUAUCGCCGACAGAUGAGCCCGCGUCUGAUUAGCUAGUUGGUGAGGUAAUGGCUCACCAAGGCGACGAUCAGUAGCNGGUCUGAGAGGAUGACCAGCCACACUGGGACUGAGACACGGCCCAGACUCCUACGGGAGGCAGCAGUGGGGAAUAUUGGACAAUGGGCGCAAGCCUGAUCCAGCCAUGCCGCGUGAGUGACGAAGGUCUUCGGAUUGUAAAGCUCUUUUGCCAGGGACGAUAAUGACGGUACCUGGAGAAUAAGCCCCGGCUAACUUCGUGCCAGCAGCCGCGGUAAU